Molecule: transfer RNA, 88 nt
Filed under: Flavobacteriaceae bacterium
Lineage: Bacteria; Pseudomonadati; Bacteroidota; Flavobacteriia; Flavobacteriales; Flavobacteriaceae
Also listed under: 1 other name
Description: tRNA-Ser
Rfam family: tRNA
About the family: Transfer RNA (tRNA) molecules are approximately 80 nucleotides in length.
Source: RNAcentral
GGAGAGCUGGCCGAGUGGUCGAAGGCGCACGCCUGGAAAGCGUGUAUACGGCAACGUAUCGAGGGUUCGAAUCCCUCGUUCUCCGCCA